AUUUUUGCUACCCGCGGCAACCCUACAGGAAACUAACAUUUUAUGUUGUGGAUACUGAUGAAUCUGGAAAUUUUCUGAAUAUUCAACCCAAGACACUCCUAUUUAUAUGUAAAAGGAGGAUAGACUUAAAUUAUUGUCUUCCCAUUUUAGUCGUUCUUACACUCUCUUCAUAAAAUUACAUGUCUGCAGCGUGCUUUAUUUAUUUCGUGCAGCAAGAAAGCCACCUUUUCGCGUAUCCAAAAGUAAACUGUGUGCAUAAUUAGCAACGAGGAAUAAUUAGCUCAAAAAAACUUUAAUUUGUUUUCGUCCACUGGGUUUUACACAAAACUGGAAUAUGACUCACGCAGCCAUCAAAUCGGGUAGUGUUAAAAAUGGCAGUAUUUGUUCCAACGGGUUCCAACCACCAAACUGGGAUUGGACCGGAAAUCAUGAAGAUCGAGUAUUGAAUCUCCUCGAAACAGGGUUCCAGCAUGAUUUGAUUCUCCACCUCCGCCCAGAAGGGUUAAAAAUUCCCGUCCACAAAAUAUUUCUUCAGGCCGGCUCUCCCGUCCUGAAUGACAAGAUUACUUACGGCGACCUUGGGCGAACUAAUCAUUGAAAAUGUGGACAGUCACGUUUUCAGGUUGCUGCUCAAGUUUUUAUACACCGGAAAGUCUGAGGUACAAAUGGGCGAUGCACUGCAACUAAUGAAAUUAGCGACGGAUUAUCAAGUAAACGGUUUAAGAGACGCUUGUGCCGCCGUCCUGAAGGACGACUUGACCUUGGAAAAUGUACUUUCUUUAUUUCAAAGUGGAAUGGAAUGCGCUCACAGCGAAUUUAUCCAGUCAACUCUCAAAUUCAUUUGCAAAAAUGCACGAAAGGUUUUGCCAUCCAGCGAAUUUUCCACGCUACGACUGUUUGAUCGAAAUUAUUCAACAGGAUUCUCUCAUUGUGAAGGACGAGCUGGAAGUCUUUGAAGCCGUGUACCGCUGGGGCCUAGCCGAAUGCACCAGACAAUCUCUGGAUCCCGGAAACUGCGAACAUCUCCGGAAAUGUCUAUCCAAACCGCUGAAUUACAUCCGAUUUCCGUUAAUGGAUCCUACCCAAUUUGUAUUAACGGUUAAGCCAAAGAAUCUUCUCGAAAUGGGUGACACCCUCGACCUAAUGACAUUUUUCCUAUCUCCGCCAGGUGACAGAAUCUCAGUGGUUCGGGAGUCCUACUCACUAGAAACGUUACAGGAGGCAACAGACAAACGAUUUAUCAUGGACCUUCCUCGGAAACUAUCAUGAUUCGUACCAACGAGAAAGUAUUGCUCAAGUCUAUUUCUAUCCCCAAAGCGAUUUUUGCCCAGUGUGGGUCAAUUGAUUAUUAUUGCUACCAUUUGAUCAAAGUUGAUAUCACCGCCACUGUUCAAGACGAACCUGCAUCCAUACUUAAUCAUGCCAGAAAUGAGGACGUGGAUUUUAUACGUAUUUUUCUCAACCCUCCGUACCAAAUUGAUGCGGAGGUCAAACUUACCGUCUCACUUUCCCGUCAGAUCAAGUACCAAGUUCGAGCCAAUCAGUUCCAAUCAAGAUAUAGUUCGAAUGAAAUGCAUACGCGCCACGUGGACGGAUAUGUUAAAAUAGUUUCAAAUUAUGGAGACUUUGUCGAUACACCAUGCACGACAGAAUUUGGUGUUGAAAUAGAAAUUAAACGAAGGGACGAGGAUAAUCUCCCUUUGAAUUAUGGUUUUCUUGAGAAGCUGGAGUUUGAAGUUGUUUAAUAAUAUCAGUAGUUUUCCUAUGGAGAGGGAAUCAGGCGUACUUUUAUAAAAUAUUAAAUACUUCAAUUUAAAACGUUUCAUGAAAAAAACAGAGUGGUUUAAAUGUCAGGUUACAAUGUAAAUUUUUGUUGGUAAUUUUUUUCGGUAAUUGGUAAAACUAAUUUCGCUCAAAAGAUUUG
Long non-coding RNA from Folsomia candida, 1924 nucleotides. RefSeq lists it as uncharacterized. NCBI's taxonomy places the organism in Eukaryota, Metazoa, Arthropoda, Collembola, Entomobryomorpha, Isotomidae. The transcript has 8 exons. The record is from RefSeq and is a predicted model, not a curated record.